AUUGAACGCUGGCGGCAUGCCUUACACAUGCAAGUCGAACGGUAACAGGUUAAGCUGACGAGUGGCGAACGGGUGAGUAAUGUAUCGGAACGUGCCCAGUCGUGGGGGAUAACUGCUCGAAAGAGCAGCUAAUACCGCAUACGACCUGAGGGUGAAAGCGGGGGAUCGCAAGACCUCGCGCGAUUGGAGCGGCCGAUAUCAGAUUAGGUAGUUGGUGAGGUAAAGGCUCACCAAGCCGACGAUCUGUAGCUGGUCUGAGAGGACGACCAGCCACACUGGGACUGAGACACGGCCCAGACUCCUACGGGAGGCAGCAGUGGGGAAUUUUGGACAAUGGGCGCAAGCCUGAUCCAGCCAUGCCGCGCGCGGGAAGAAGGCCUUCGGGUUGUAAACCGCUUUUGUCAGGGAAGAAAAGGUUCUGGCUAAUACCUGGGACUCAUGACGGUACCUGAAGAAUAAGCACCGGCUAACUACGUG
RNAcentral lists this ribosomal RNA (477 nucleotides) under uncultured bacterium. RNAcentral's name for it is "partial 16S ribosomal RNA". It matches the Rfam family "Bacterial small subunit ribosomal RNA", at positions 30 to 507 of the family's 1533-position model. The record is from RNAcentral.